AUUGAACGCUGGCGGAAUGCUUUACACAUGCAAGUCGAACGGCAGCACGGACUUCGGUCUGGUGGCGAGUGGCGAACGGGUGAGUAAUGUAUCGGAACGUGCCCAGUCGUGGGGGAUAACGUAGUGAAAAUUACGCUAAUACCGCAUACGAUCUAUGGAUGAAAGCGGGGAUCGCAAGACCCUGCGCGCUUGGAGCGGCCGAUAUCAGAUUAGGUAGUUGGUGGGGUAAAGGCCCACCAAGCCAACGAUCUGUAGCUGGUCUGAGAGGACGACCAGCCACACUGGAACUGAGACGCGGUCCAGACUCCUACGGGAGGCAGCAUUGGGGAAUUUUGGACAAUGGGCGAAAGCCUGAUCCAGCCAUUCCGCGUGCAGGAUGAAGGCCCUCGGGUUGUAAACUGCUUUUGUACAGAACGAAAAGGUUUCUACUAAUACUAGGAGCUCAUGACGGUACUGUAAGAAUAAGCACCGGCUAACUACGUGCCAGCCGCCGCCGUAA
RNAcentral lists this ribosomal RNA (499 nucleotides) under uncultured bacterium. Its description in RNAcentral is "partial 16S ribosomal RNA". It matches the Rfam family "Bacterial small subunit ribosomal RNA", at positions 30 to 523 of the family's 1533-position model. The record is from RNAcentral.